GAGAUAGGGUUUCCUUCAGCGACACGAGUCUUUCUGUUCUCAUGUUGGGAGUGGGUUUUGUGCUGGAAUAAGUUGUUGAAAGGACAGCACUGCCUUUAAGAUAUAUCCAGGCAGAAGAGUUGGUGACUCAACGUUAGCUCACCACAGUCAUAAAACUGACUGAUUCUGGUGAGCACAGACACUGGAUAUCCCACCUGUCUGCGCACGGAAGAUGUUGCAACGAGGACCAUAGACUCUUCCUUGACCCCCCUCCAAACCCCUGGGGAUAAAAGCCAUGAGUAUCCUGGAAGCUUAGCUCAAGUCCACAGACAUGCUGCUCUGUGAAAGGACAGGUACUUUGCAAGCCCAUUGUGUGAGCAGCUGCAUGUCUAUAGAAAGUAAUACGGUGAUUCAUUGUUCUGCUGUAAGCUUCAAUAUUUGACAUAAAUUUUGUCAGGGCAACCUUCCCCCCUCUGCUUCCGCUUCUAAUAUUUAAUCGUAACACAUUGUGGUUGCAACAAGCUGAAACCAUUGAGAUUAAAAAAUGAGUUGUAAAAAAAAAAGUGGAGAAGCACAUCCUUUGUGGUGAAUACUAAUCUUGCAAAGCAUUUUAUUUCCGGGGAGGCUGCCAAGAGCAAGUGCGGAAGAGUCGGGAUUGAAAUGACUCAUGGCAUCUGCAGCCUCAGGAGGUCAGAGAAGCAGACAAGGAGAAUAGUCAAGGGCUUGCCCUGGAGGUGGAAGAGCAUUCCAGCCAGCAGGCAGAGCAAAGCUAUGCCUGGAAGGGAGGGUUCCAAACCUGCACAUGCUGGGUCCAGCACCUUCCCUUUUCUGGAUUAGCUUCCUGCCCGUGGAACAUUCUCCUCUCUUGAGUCAAUCAAUUCUGCAAGACUGGAUUGCUUACUCUUGGUUCACUGAACUCUGGUGGGCUGUCUUAGAAAUGACUCCUCUGCCUAGCCUGUGGGAUCUGCUCAACCAGGCCUGUGUGUUCACUCACCUCCUGAGGGUACUGGGGACUGUAGGGUGGAGCCUGCCUGGAGGAGCAGGAGGUGGAUGGACUACAGCAAGCCCAGCUCAAAUGGAGCAGAACAGAGCACAAGGUCCCAAGAUGCUGAGCAGCUGCAGGAAUGCUGAAGAAUUUUGUUCUCCAAGCAAAUACCAGCUCAGCCGUACCUGUGCCCACUAGCAGGACUGUGGACUGACCAUAUUCCCUAAGAGUAUGGAAUAGGGGGAGUCAUUGAACCCUUAACCAGGAUUCCAGCCAUUUGUCCUAGCCAUUUGUUUGCAAUUCUUCCCUAAUUGUAUGUGGCUUAGAGUAUAUAGACUGGGGACAGUUGACUAAAGGAAGCUGUAUCUAUGUGACUAUUGGGGACACCACCAUCCAUGCUGGGUAAAAACUGCAGUGUAGCUGUUUGGGGUCACUCAAGCUCCUAUAUACAAUCCCUCACCUAUGCUCUCUAGGUAAGGCCAAUAAACUCCCUGGUUGAACUUUGA
This 1470-nucleotide long non-coding RNA is filed under the name Mus pahari (shrew mouse). RNAcentral describes it as "lncRNA (MGP_PahariEiJ_G0006019.1)". Lineage: Eukaryota; Metazoa; Chordata; Mammalia; Rodentia; Muridae. The record is from RNAcentral.